RNAcentral lists this ribosomal RNA (600 nucleotides) under uncultured archaeon. RNAcentral describes it as "bacterial SSU rRNA". It matches the Rfam family "Archaeal small subunit ribosomal RNA", at positions 156 to 758 of the family's 1478-position model. The record is from RNAcentral.
AUAGAUCAUAGUGCCUGGAAUGGCUUAUGGUCCAAACAGUCUACUGCCAUGGGAUGGGACUGCGGCCUAUCAGCUUGUUGGUGAGGUAAUGGCCCACCAAGGCGAUUACAGGUACGGGCUCUGAGAGGAGAAGCCCGGAGAUGGGUACUGAGACACGGACCCAGGCCCUAUGGGGCGCAGCAGGCGAGAAACCUUAGCAAUGUGCGAAAGCACGACUGGGUCAGUCCGAGUGAUUCCUGAUAAAGGAGUCUUUUGCCUGUCCUAAAAACACAGGUGAAUAAGGGGUGGGCAAGUCUGGUGUCAGCCGCCGCGGUAAUACCAGCACCUCGAGUGGUCAGGACGUUUAUUGGGCCUAAAGCAUCCGUAGCCGGCGCUGCAAGUCUUCGGUUAAAUCCACCUGCUCAACAGAUGGGCUGCUGGAGAUACUACAGCGCUAGGGAGUGGGAGAGGCAGACGGUAUUCAGUGGGUAGGGGUAAAAUCCUCUGAUCCAUUGAGGACCACCAGUGGCGAAGGCGGUCUGCCAGAACACGUUCGACGGUGAGGGAUGAAAGCUGGGGGAGCAAACCGGAUUAGAUACCCGGGUAGUCCCAGCUGUAAAC